AGAGUUUGAUCCUGGCUCAGGACGAACGCUGGCGGCGUGCUUAACACAUGCAAGUCACGGGGGCUCGCAAGAGCAACCGGCGAACGGGUGCGUAACACGUGAGCAACCUGCCGAUCUGAGGGGGAUAGCCGGCCCAACGGCCGGGUAAUACCGCAUACGUUCUUCUAGGGGAGUCCCUGGGAGAAGAAACCUCCGGGGCAGAUCGAGGGGCUCGCGGCCUAUCAGCUAGUUGGCGGUGUAAUGGACCACCAAGGCGACGACGGGUAGCUGGUCUGAGAGGAUGGCCAGCCACAUUGGGACUGAGAGACGGCCCAGACUCCUACGGGAGGCAGCAGUGGGGAAUCUUGCGCAAUGGCCGAAAGGCUGACGCAGCGACGCCGCGUGUGGGAUGAAGCAUUUCGGUGUGUAAACCACUGUUGCCCGGGACGAACAGCUCUUUUCGAGGAGCCUGACGGUACCGGGUGAGGAAGCACCGGCUAACUCCGUGCCAGCAGCCGCGGUAAUACGGAGGGUGCGAGCGUUGUCCGGAAUCACUGGGCGUAAAGGGCGCGUAGGUGGCGCGGGCAGUCAACGGUGAAAGUUCGGGGCUCAACCCUGAAUCGGCCGUCGAUACUCCCGUGCUUGAGCACUGUAGAGGCUAAUGGAAUUCCGGGUGUAGCGGUGGAAUGCGUAGAGAUCCGGAAGAACACCGGUGGCGAAGGCGGUUAGCUGGGCAGUUGCUGACACUGAGGCGCGACAGCGUGGGGAGCAAACAGGAUUAGAUACCCUGGUAGUCC
RNAcentral lists this ribosomal RNA (776 nucleotides) under uncultured bacterium. Its description in RNAcentral is "bacterial SSU rRNA". It matches the Rfam family "Bacterial small subunit ribosomal RNA", at positions 8 to 796 of the family's 1533-position model. The record is from RNAcentral.